GAUCAACCAAUAGUAGUCCGCCUAUUUUCACCCCCUCCGGACAAAACCCAGAAGCUAAGAAGAACACAAUCCCUAUUUCAUUUCGAUCAAACGGGAAAAAUAACCAAUUUUAUGGAUAAGACGGAAGCUAGCAAGAAGCUAACCGAGGACAUGACUCGUGAGUCACUAAUCGCAAUCUCUUACGACACUGAUGACGUGGCGGCUAAUGAAAUGUCGCCGGAAAACAACAAAAAUAGCGACGAAUUUGUUGAAUCUCCGAAUCGAGAUAGGGACGAGAAAUAUAGGUCUAAGUUGAUCUCGAUUUCUUAUUCGCCCUCGCCCGAUGCGAAAGAGCUACCGUUACUGCCACCCGGCGAAGUCCACGGUUAGCUUAAUGAAACAUUAUCGGACCUCUUUAAUAUUAUACGACUACGAUUGUAAAAUUUUACGAUAAAUAAUUAAAUAUUGUCUUGUAUGAAACAAUAUUUCCUCUUGGGGUUUGAAGGUGUGUUGUGGUUUAUCUUAUAAAUACUUGUAAUUAACUUCACUAUCUAAUAAUGUGAAAAUAUGAUGAAUAUUUUAUUAAUAUAUAUCAAUGAUUAUGUUGAUUUUUAGUUGA
Non-coding RNA from Erythranthe guttata (spotted monkey flower), 598 nucleotides. Lineage: Eukaryota; Viridiplantae; Streptophyta; Magnoliopsida; Lamiales; Phrymaceae. The record is from RefSeq and is a predicted model, not a curated record.